Molecule: long non-coding RNA, 1161 nt
Filed under: Physcomitrium patens
Lineage: Eukaryota; Viridiplantae; Streptophyta; Bryopsida; Funariales; Funariaceae
Description: long non-coding RNA (PPAT_LNC009474)
Source: RNAcentral
GGGAUUGUUAUGUUUAUAAAAGCAAUGAUUGGAAUUGAUUUUGCUAUUAUUAAGAUUUUUACUUUAAAAAUUAAACAUCUCUGUAGAAAAAAAUAUCAUGUUGAUAACUUUGAGUGGUAAAAACAAACCUUACAUCUUUAAAAUAAGCUUGAAGCUAAAAAAAUAAUUAAUAUAUUUUUAUUAUUUUUUUAUUUGUGAUAAUGUUAUUAACAUUAAAUAAUAAGUUAAUAAAUAAUAAGAUAACAAUAAGAGUCAUGCAAACAUAAAUAAAAAAUUUGAUAGCUCAAAAAUCAGGGUAAGAUUAAUGUAAGAAUAAAGAAAAAUUAAAUAGAAAAAUAUGUAAAAUAAUUCUUUGUGUUUUAGAAUUGGUUUUUACAUUUAUAGUUAUAAAAUUAAAUUUAAGCAAAAAUAAAUGUUAUUAUUAUAUUAUAAUUAUCUGAACUUCAAUUUAAAUGUAUUUUUUACCAUUCACUUAUUAAUAGUAAUGUUAAUUACAUAAAUGUACUUGUCUGUUUUAUUUUAUAUCAAUUUUCUAUGAGUAUAUAUGAAAACUUAAAAAAGACAAGUAUCUAUUUAAUGCGUAAGACUAAAAUUAAUAAUUAUAAACAUUACUUAAAAACAUAGAUUAGGAACCAGAUGCUGGCAAAUAGAUUUGAGUGCUUGCAUUGGUAAAGAAGUUGGCGUGGAUUUGAAGGUCUGCACAUGAAGAUCGAACUUUAAUAAGAUUUGUAUUUUCAUGAACCACACACAAGUUUUGAGACAGCAUAGAGUUGAGAGAGGGUACCAUAUUCAUUUGAUUGAUAUUCUAUUUUAUUCAGCGGAGAAAAUAGUCAAAGUGGAAGCCACCCAGACAACUAUGCAGGAAUCGACCGUUCCUGACUAGAAGCAUCUUGAGAUUGGCUUCACCCGCACUCCUCAUGCGAUACCGAUCCGCAGGAGCAGAAGUGAGAGAGAGAGUGUGGAUAUGUGUGUGAGCAGAAAAGCGAAUCUGGCAGCGUGGCUGAGGAGGAGGAUCAAGCAGAGGCAGAGGCAGAGAGCGAGAGCGAUGCAGAGGAGGAAUGAGCUACUGGAAUGAGCGUGGGAGCGUAGAAGAAGCGUGGAAUCAGGGGUGGGGGGUUGGUUGGUGGAGGCGAGGGUUUUGGGGGGGGGGGGGGGGGGGGG